AACGAACGCUGGCGGCAUGCCUAACACAUGCAAGUCGAACGAGACCUUCGGGUCUAGUGGCGCACGGGUGCGUAACGCGUGGGAACCUGCCCUUAGGUUCGGAAUAACUCCCCGAAAGGGGUGCUAAUACCGGAUACUGUCUUCGGACCAAAGAUUUAUCGCCUUUGGAUGGGCCCGCGUUGGAUUAGCUAGUUGGUAGGGUAAAAGCCUACCAAGGCGACGAUCCAUAGCUGGUCUGAGAGGAUGAUCAGCCACACUGGGACUGAGACACGGCCCAGACUCCUACGGGAAGCAGCAGUGGGGAAUAUUGGACAAUGGGCGAAAGCCUGAUCCAGCAAUGCCGCGUGAGUGAUGAAGGCCUUAGGGUUGUAAAGCUCUUUUACCCGGGAUGAUAAUGACAGUACCGGGAGAAUAAGCUCCGGCUAACUCCGUG
Molecule: ribosomal RNA, 433 nt
Filed under: uncultured bacterium
Lineage: Bacteria
Description: partial 16S ribosomal RNA
Rfam family: Bacterial small subunit ribosomal RNA
Source: RNAcentral